GAGUUUGAUCCUGGCUCAGGAUGAACGCUGGCGGCGUGCUUAACACAUGCAAGUCGAACGGGAAAUAUUUCAUUGAGACUUCGGUGGAUUUGAUCUAUUUCUAGUGGCGGACGGGUGAGUAACGCGUGGGUAACCUGCCUUAUACAGGGGGAUAACAGUCAGAAAUGGCUGCUAAUACCGCAUAAGCGCACAGAGCUGCAUGGCUCAGUGUGAAAAACUCCGGUGGUAUAAGAUGGACCCGCGUUGGAUUAGCUGGUUGGUGGGGUAACGGCCCACCAAGGCGACGAUCCAUAGCCGGCCUGAGAGGGUGGACGGCCACAUUGGGACUGAGACACGGCCCAGACUCCUACGGGAGGCAGCAGUGGGGAAUAUUGCACAAUGGGGGAAACCCUGAUGCAGCGACGCCGCGUGAGCGAAGAAGUAUUUCGGUAUGUAAACCUCUAUCAGCAGGGAAGAAAAUGACGGUACCUGACUAAGAAGCCCCGGCUAACUACGUGCCAGCCGCCGCGGUAAUAC
This 516-nucleotide ribosomal RNA is filed under the name uncultured bacterium. RNAcentral describes it as "bacterial SSU rRNA". It matches the Rfam family "Bacterial small subunit ribosomal RNA", at positions 9 to 526 of the family's 1533-position model. The record is from RNAcentral.